UGCUAGCGUGGCUGUACGUCCGAUGCUGGUCUUGUUCCUCCACCUAUCUGCUACUAAGUUUUCAGAGUUCUUAAAUAGCUACUCUGUGUGUUUUGUCCAGGAUUUUUUUUCUUUUUUAAUGUUUAUUUAUUUUUGAGAGAGAAAGAGUGAGUGAGUGCCAGUGGGGGAGGGGGCAGAGAGAGAGAGAGAGGGAGAGAGAGGGAGGGAGACACAGAAUCCGAAGCAGGCUCCAGGCUCUGCGCUGUCAGCGCAGAGCCUCAUGCGGGGCUCGAACCCAGUCUGAUCUAGAUGUAUGGGGAGCAUCAGCAAACCUUGUAUGCCUCACCUAAGAUGUGGGGCUUUACCUCAUGAUGUGACCUUCUCCAGGGCUCUCGGCUUUCCCCUUAAUUCUAGCUAACUCUGCCUUUUGUGGGAUUUGUGCCCUCAGUGGGAAGCCUUCUACCCACCUGCCUCCCAUCCUUUGUGACCCCAUCCUUCUCCCAUGGUGGAAUCUUUUUUCCCAUCUAGCAAGGCAAUAGAUAGCGGGCCUGAGUAUAAGAAAUGCAGUGAUAGCUGUUCCGUAUACACUGGUUUGUAUAACCUUCAUCUCAACAUCACUGUUACUAACCCCCUUUUACAGAAGAGAAAACUGAGGUGUAGUUUUGGGGUAAGUUGCCUCCAGUUGUGGGUGGUAACCUAAAAAAUGAUGUCCCAAAGAAGCCAGAUCCCUGGGGCCUGUAAAUCUACCUUACAUGGAUACAAGGCCUUUACAGAUAUAUUAAGUUAAGAUCUUGAGAUGGGGAGAUUAUCCUGGAUUAUCAGGGUGGCCCUAAAUACAAUUACAUGUAUAGGAGAGGGAAGCAGAGGGAGAUCUCUCUCUCUCUCUCUCCCUCCCUCCCUCCCUCCCUCCCUCCCUUUCCCAUCCCCACCCCCCACAGAAAAGAAGGUGAUGUGACCACAGAGCUGACACAUUUCAAGAUGCUGGCAUUAAAAACCAGAGCGAUGCAGCCACAAACCAAGCAGAAACAGCCAACACCAGAAGCUGGAAGAGUCAGGGAACAGUGUCUCCCCUGGAGCCCCCAGAAGGAGUGCAGCCCUGUCAACACCUUACUUUGCCCCAGUGAUACUGAUUUUGGACUCCGGGCCCCCAGAACUGAGAGAAUACAUUUCUGUUUGUCUGAAGCCACCAAGUCUGUGGUAAUUUGCCACAAGAGCUUUAGGAGACCAGUCUACCAUGUAGAACCAGCCACGUGCCCCCGUCUGUCUGGCUCAGUUUCUUCACCUGUAAAACGGAGAACAAAUGGGACACACUUCACAAGGCUGUUUUGAGCGCCACAGUUAUAAUUCCGUUGUGGAAAGUUUCGUCUGAAGGGCUCGGAAUUGUGUGGCAGGAAGUAAGCGCUCACUGAUGGCUCUCAACUGUCAUCACAGUGAAGAAGUCAGGAAGGAUCCGCAUUAAAUGACGUCAUUAUCUUGGGCGGUGACGGUGGAUCAUGGAGGACAGUAAGUCUUGUGGGUUCAGAUGUUUCAGAUGAUCGGGGAUAAUCAGGAAAAAUUACUGUUAAUAUCUUUCCUUUUUAAAUUUUUUUUAACGUUUAUUUAUUUUUGAGAGGAGAGAGACAGAGCAUGAGCGGGGGAGGAGAGAGAAAGAGGGAGACACAGAAUCUGAAACAGGCUCCAGGCUCUGAGCCGUCAGCCCAGAGCCCGACGCAGGGCUCAAACUCACGGACCGCGAGAUCAUGACCUGAGCCAAAGUCGGCCGCUUAACUGACAGAGCCAGCCGGGCGCCCCCACAGUUUGUGAUUUCGAGUCACACAAGCCCCGUGCUUCGGGUAAAACGCGAGCUCUGGGUGAGCCCUGCUUCUCUCUCUCAAUCUCCCCGCCCCUUGUCACUUGCCCCCCGACCCCCAAAAAAGUGCAUGGUACAAAAUUCUAAAGCAAAAAGCAAAGAAAAGGCAAUAUAGAUAAGUCCCCCUCCCACGCCAUCCCUCAGCCACCCAGGUGUCCUAUCUCCCCAUACCCACAAUUGCUGUCUGGUGUGUUUUUCCGGAAUUGGGGGGGGGUGUCUAUGUAGAUAUAAUCAAAUACAUAUUUCUAACCAUUUUAUUUUACAGGGGUGGAAAUGAAGGCAACCAGAAUAUGUCAGCCCAAAAUAUGCCUCUUUGACUUAAAAAGUAUUUUGAGCUGAAGGCAGUUAAGAAGCAGCAAGCCCAGGAAAAAAAGCUCCCUCUUUUCUGCCUAAAGGCAGGGUAUAAAUUCUUCUUUUAUUGGAGACAGACAUAAAUCUAGAGAUGACACCAGAGGAAUUUGCAAACCUUCCUCCAUUCCCUCUCAUAUAUUUACCUUUCCACAGCCUUCUGAUCUCAGAAGCCUUGAGCCAUUUCCCUUUGCCUUGUCAUUUCUUGGCAAAUUUAUUGUUCCUUGUUGAAGAUGCUAUCUAAGCUGGAAUUCUAAGCUGCCAUUUUGGGUUACUUUUCAUUAGGUUUCCCCGUGUAAUGUGUGCUGCAUGACUUAAUAAAAGUUUUUUCUCUUGUUAGUCUAAGUUUUGU
RNAcentral lists this long non-coding RNA (2528 nucleotides) under Felis catus (domestic cat). RNAcentral's name for it is "lncRNA (ENSFCAG00000050834.1)". The record is from RNAcentral. Lineage: Eukaryota; Metazoa; Chordata; Mammalia; Carnivora; Felidae.